GCCCGCCUAGCGACCGCCUAGGCCGACUUUUCAGUUCUCGCUUUCCAGCAUCCAAACGCAUUCUCUCUCUCCCCUUGUCGUCAAGGUUUUUCUGUGUUGAAAUGAGACUGAACAUAGUGGAACAAAAACAAAUUUCAUGUGAAAAAUGCGGUCCAAGUGUUUGGAAUUGCAGCAAGAUUUCUUUUUGAAAGCUUAAAUGUCGGGAAGCAAAGUGUUGUUAACGUAUAAGCGAAAGCGGCAAUCAAGAACAGAUCCUGUACAGGGACAUGAGUGCCGUAAUUCACUUUUUGUUGCUCCCGAUGAUACUUCUUUAAGCAAACCACCAGACUUGCAAGUUCAUUUGAUUGAUAGGCGUUCAUCAGAACGUUACAACUAAAUUCUGUGUUAUGGUCUAGAAGAAUGUUAGAAGACUUGAAGAUGGGGGAUUGAAGCUGCAGAGUGCAUAUAUGAUAUUGCUCCGGCAACUUCACAGGCGAUCCUGAAGCGAUGUUCCCACGAAAGUGAUGGUGUUUCAAUGUGCUUCUGCUGGUUACAGUAUCGCCGUGGGGCUAUACUGUAUAAAUAGAAAUUUUAAAGUAUCGCCGCGCGUCUAUACUCUAGAAACUAUAUUGUAUAAAUAGAAAUUUAGAGUAUAGCCGCCCGGCUAUACGAUAUAAAUAGAAAAUUUUCAAGUAGAGCCUCGCGGCUAUACCCCAUAAAUAGAAAUUAUAAGAGUAUAGCCACUAUACUCCCUAAAUACAAUAUAUUA
Molecule: long non-coding RNA, 748 nt
Organism: Prunus dulcis (almond)
Lineage: Eukaryota; Viridiplantae; Streptophyta; Magnoliopsida; Rosales; Rosaceae
Exons: 3
Source: RefSeq, a predicted model, not a curated record